UGCCCCUGAACGGGCGCCCGUUGGAGGUUU
Molecule: small RNA, 30 nt
Filed under: Bombyx mori (domestic silkworm)
Lineage: Eukaryota; Metazoa; Arthropoda; Insecta; Lepidoptera; Bombycidae
Description: ovarian small RNA-33728
Source: RNAcentral